Molecule: ribosomal RNA, 442 nt
Filed under: uncultured bacterium
Lineage: Bacteria
Description: partial 16S ribosomal RNA
Rfam family: Bacterial small subunit ribosomal RNA
Source: RNAcentral
CCUACGGGUGGCAGCAGUAGGGAAUCUUUCACAAUGGGCGAAAGCCUGAUGGAGCAACGCCGCGUGCAGGAUGAAGGCCUUCGGGUUGUAAACUGCUUUUAUAAGCGAGAAAUAUGAUGGUACCUUAUGAAUAAGGAUCGGCUAACUACGUGCCAGCAGCCGCGGUCAUACGUAGGAUCCGAGCAUUAUCCGGAGUGACUGGGUGUAAAGAGUGGCGUAUGUGGCAUAAUAAGUAGCUAGUGAAAUCUGGUGGCUCAACCAUUCAGACUAUUAGCUAAACUGUUAAGCUCGAGACCGUUAGGGGUAACUGGAAUUUCUAGUGUAGGAGUGAAAUGCGUAGAUAUUAGAAGGAACACCAAUAGCGUAGGCAGGUUACUGGGACGGUUCUGACACUAAGGCACGAAAGCGUAGGGAGCAAACGGGAUUAGAUACCCUUGUAGUC